GCGGCUGGGCCGAGUGGGUGUCUGGUGCCGGCGUUUGGGCUACGGUUGUUGUUGGCGACUGUGCUUCAAGCGGUGUCUGCUUUUGGGGCAGAGUUUUCAUCGGAGGCAUGCAGAGAGUUAGGCUUUUCUAGCAACUUGCUUUGCAGCUCUUGUGAUCUUCUCGGACAGUUCAACCUGCUUCAGCUGGAUCCUGAUUGCAGAGGAUGCUGUCAGGAGGAAGCACAAUUUGAAACCAAAAAGUAUGUCCGUGGUUCAGACCCUGUAUUAAAGCUUUUGGACGACAAUGGGAACAUUGCUGAAGAACUGAGCAUUCUCAAAUGGAACACAGACAGUGUAGAAGAAUUCCUGAGUGAAAAGUUGGAACGCAUAUAAAUCUUGCUUAAAUUUUGUCCUAUCCUUUUGUUACCUUAUCAAAUGAAAUAUUACAGCACCUAGAAAAUAAUUUAGUUUUGCUUGCUUCCAUUGAUCAGUCUUUUACUUGAGGCAUUAAAUAUCUAAUUAAAUCGUGAAAUGGCAGUAUAGUCCAUGAUAUCUAAGGAGUUGGCAAGCUUAACAAAACCCAUUUUUUAUAAAUGUCCAUCCUCCUGCAUUUGUUGAUACCACUAACAAAAUGCUUUGUAACAGACUUGCGGUUAAUUAUGCAAAUGAUAGUUUGUGAUAAUUGGUCCAGUUUUACGAACAACAGAUUUCUAAAUUAGAGAGGUUAACAAGACAGAUGAUUACUAUGCCUCAUGUGCUGUGUGCUCUUUGAAAGGAAUGACAGCAGACUACAAAGCAAAUAAGAUAUACUGAGCCUCAACAGAUUGCCUGCUCCUCAGAGUCUCUCCUAUUUUUGUAUUACCCAGCUUUCUUUUUAAUACAAAUGUUAUUUAUAGUUUACAAUGAAUGCACUGCAUAAAAACUUUGUAGCUUCAUUAUUGUAAAACAUAUUCAAGAUCCUACAGUAAGAGUGAAACAUUCACAAAGAUUUGCGUUAAUGAAGACUACACAGAAAACCUUUCUAGGGAUUUGUGUGGAUCAGAUACAUACUUGGCAAAUUUUUGAGUUUUACAUUCUUACAGAAAAGUCCAUUUAAAAGUGAUCAUUUGUAAGACCAAAAUAUAAAUAAAAAGUUUCAAAA
This 1120-nucleotide long non-coding RNA is filed under the name Homo sapiens (human). RNAcentral describes it as "HSALNT0009983". The stretch from base 968 to 1037 matches the Rfam family "Selenocysteine insertion sequence 1". The record is from RNAcentral. Lineage: Eukaryota; Metazoa; Chordata; Mammalia; Primates; Hominidae.